RNAcentral lists this long non-coding RNA (315 nucleotides) under Gossypium barbadense (sea-island cotton). Its description in RNAcentral is "long non-coding RNA (GBAR_LNC012806)". Lineage: Eukaryota; Viridiplantae; Streptophyta; Magnoliopsida; Malvales; Malvaceae. The record is from RNAcentral.
GUCUUUUUUUUCUUCGUAUUUUCGCUCCAUUUCACCUAGAUGGAAGAAGAGAAAUUUAUUAAUAUUUAACUAAAAUAAAAUAAUAAAUAAUAAAAGAAAAUAAAGGAAAAUAAUAAAUAAAAAUAAAAAUAAAGAUUGGGUUGCCUCCCAACAAGCGCUUGUUUAACGUCGCUAGCUUGACGCCUCAACUAGUAUUGGGGCUGUUCCAGCUGAAUUCUUUUGUUCUUAUGAGCUUGGAAAUUCUCAUUUUUUAACACGUCCACCAUAUUUGGGUUUAAUUGUCCUUGCGCCUCUUUCUUUGGUUCCGUAUUUUCC